UAGAUGGCUAUAAGAAGACAGACUAGCAAGAUAAAAAUAAACAGAAAUUUAGUAACAUGUGUACUUCCUGACCUCCAUUCCUUCGUAAAGAAGAACAUUAUUUAAUCUUAACCAGAGAAAGAGAUUCAAGGUGUAACAACCCAGUGUCAUCAUUUGCAUCUCCCUUCUUAAUGGGCAUUGGCCUAGGCCAAAGUGAAAAUAAGGUAUCCUCUUGACUACUGGACAUCACUAGAUGGGUCAUUCCUGAGGAAUGUAUAUCCUUUGACUGGUGAAAACGGCUAAUGUCAGACAGGCAAAUAGAGAAUUUCGCUUUCUUUCCAAUCGACCACUAGAAGGCACUCAACAUGGAGAAUAAACAGCAGAUGGCAGCCCAUGUCAUACUUUCUGGAUCUGCGUGUCUAUCUCUGAUACAAUUUCAUGUCUGCUUUCGAUUUAUUGACAUUCAACACUCCACGAAAACACAUGGAAACUUCUGUGCCUUGCAAUGAAGAUGUGAUUAACAAAUCAGGAGACUGUGAAUAAGGCAGACUACCCUCUACAAUGUGGUUAGACCUCAUCCAGUCAGUUGAAGAAUGAAGACAGGUUUUCCAAAGGAGAAUUCCAUCUUAAGACUGCAACACAGAAAUCCUCCCUAAGUUCCCAGUCUGCCUGGCCUGCUCUGUGGAUUUUGUGUUCAAGACUACAACAUCGACACUCACUUGAAUUUUCCAGACUACUAUCAUGUCCAGUGGAUCAAACUUGCUGGUCAUCACAGUUGUGCCAGCUAAUUCCUCAAUCUCUCUCUUAGAUAUAUAUAUGUACAGUGGACCCCGACAACAGGGGGCUGAACUGCACGGGUCCACUUCCAUGCAGAUUUCUUUUUGAUAUAGCACAGGACUGUAAAUGUGUUUUCUCUUCCUUACGAUUUUCUUAAUGAUAUUUUCUCUUCUCCAGCUAGCUUUAUUGUAAGAAUACAAUAUUAAUACAUACAGCAUACAAAAUAUGUAUAUGUUAAGUGACUGUUUAUAUUAUUGGGAAGGCUUCUGGUCCACGGUAGGCUAUUAAUGAAGAAUUGAGGAGCUGAAAGUCAUGUGUGGAUUUUUCACUGGCAGGGGUUCAGUGCCCCUAACCUCUAUGUUGUUCAAGGACUAGCUGUUUAUAUAAUCUCUUUCUCUCAUAUGUCAUGUAUAUAUGUAAAUGUUUAUAUGUAUAUAAACAUUUAAUUUACUUAUUUUUAUUUAAAAAAUUUACUU
Molecule: long non-coding RNA, 1232 nt
Organism: Canis lupus familiaris (dog)
Lineage: Eukaryota; Metazoa; Chordata; Mammalia; Carnivora; Canidae
Exons: 5
Source: RefSeq, a predicted model, not a curated record